AGUGCCUGAGCACGCCAUCCUCCUGUACCCUACUCCAUUACGAUGUGAUUCCUUCGUGUUAAAACUGUGUACCUUGCCCUACUAACUUUGGAUCUGGCCAAUGGAAUAUAAGGAGAUUUGACCUGUGCUGCUGUGAUUAACAGACAUCAGAGGCAUGGAAGAAAAACAACAGUAACUAGAUGAAGCAAGGACCACCCUUCUGGACAACAAAGGGAGAGGAAUGAAAGUCUGACCUAGGAAAAGAACUUUGAGAUGAAAUCUUCAGGAAAAGGGGAAGAGGGUAUUAAGAGAAGAAGAGAACCAAAGAAGAAAACUCGCUCGGGCCUUUUGAAGACCAGGACUGUGAAGCCUCUUUUCUAGGCAGGGAACUGGAUAUAGUGAUACCUUCUCUUCCUCCAACACUAAACUACUCUUUUGAGAUCCCACUGUCAGGAAAGAUUGCGAAAGACUUCAAAGUGGGCAGAAAAGA
RNAcentral lists this long non-coding RNA (469 nucleotides) under Homo sapiens (human). RNAcentral's name for it is "HSALNT0326776". The record is from RNAcentral. Lineage: Eukaryota; Metazoa; Chordata; Mammalia; Primates; Hominidae.